Molecule: ribosomal RNA, 753 nt
Filed under: Triticum aestivum (bread wheat)
Lineage: Eukaryota; Viridiplantae; Streptophyta; Magnoliopsida; Poales; Poaceae
Description: partial small subunit ribosomal RNA
Source: RNAcentral
AUCCUUGGCGAUGGCCAUACUUGCUACUUCUGGACUGAUCAUUGGAUCCAGGGACAGUGUGUGGCUCAGUUCGCGUCGGCGAUCCUUGCCCCCGUGCCCAAACAACACCGGAAGGCCCUCUCCAUGGCGGACGGCCCCAAUCUUUGCUCCUGGACCCAGGACAUCCAAGGGGCACUUGGACCCCUUGCAUCUCUUCAGUACUUGGAGCUCUGGCGUCGCAUCCGCGACAUCCCCCUCUCCUCCGCUCCUAACGCCAUCCGCUGGCGUUGGACGACCUCGGGCUUAUACUUUGCUAAGUCCUGCUAUGAUGCCCUCUUCCUUGGUUCCACCUCGUCGCCGCAUGCCAAGAUGAUCUGGAAAACGUGGGCUCCGCUAUGAUACAAGGUCUUUAUCUGGCUGGUCACCCUCAACCGUUGCUGGACCAUGGAGCGCCGCGCCCGCCAUGGACUUUCCCACAGCCCUACCUUCGUCCUCUGCGACCAGACCCUCGAGACGAUCGACCAUCUCCUGGUCGGCUGUCCGUUCUCCCGCGAGAUUUGUCACCGCGUGCUCUCGAGCUUCAGGCUUACAUCAGCGAUUCCGACAGCACAGGACAUGUUCAUUGACUGGUGGAGUGCCGCCACCCUCAACACCCCGCACUUGCUUCACGAGGGUUUUGCCUCCCUUGCCGUCCUUACUGCCUGGUGCAUUUGGAAGCACCGUAACUCUGUGUUCUUCAACUUCACCCGCCCAUCCACUAACCUGGUGACAUAA